GGGUAGAGCACUGGAUAGACUAGGGGGAUUCACCGUCUUACCAAAUCUAACCAAACUCCGAAUACCAACAAUUAAUUAUACAGCAGACACACUGCGGGUGCUAAGUCCGUGGUGGAAAGGGAAACAACCCAGAUCACUAUCUAAGGUCCCAAAAUUACAGCUAAGUGGGGAAGGAAGUAGAAAAACCAUUACAGCUAGGAGGUUGGCUUGGAAGCAGCCAUCCUUUAAAGAAAGCGUAACAGCUCACUUGUCUAAAUAAGUUUUUCUGCGCUGAAAAUGUACCGGGGCUAAAGCUGUAUACCGAAGAUGUGAGCGCCUAUUGAUCAAGAUCAAUAGGCGCGGUAGCGGAGCGUUCCGUAAGUCUGUGAAGGUAGUUUGAGAAGACUGCUCGAGAUAUCGGAAGUGAGAAUGCUGACAUAAGUAGCGUAAAAGAGUGUGAAAAACACUCUCACCAAAAAUCUAAGGUUUCCUACGUUAAGUUAAUCUGCGUAGGGUUAGUCGGUUCCUAAGGCGAGUCCGUAAAGGAGUAGUCGAUGGCAAUUAGGUUAAUAUUCCUAAACCUCUUAAGUGUGACGGGUUUCGUAUUUGUAUAGGUCUUAUUGGAUUGACUUAUGCUUAAAAGAAGCUCCAGGAAAUAGCACUUAUAUUUAUGAGGCCGUACCGUAAACCGACACUGGUGGAUGAGUAGAGUAUACUAAGGUGUUGAAAGAAUGAUGUUGAAGGAACUCGGCAAAUUAUACCUGUAACUUCGGAAGAAGGGUAACCUGCUUUUAGGCAACUAUUGGUAGGUGGCACAAAAUAGGGAGUAGCGACUGUUUACUAAAAACACAGGACUCUGCAAACACGUAAGUGGAAGUAUAGGGUCUGACGCCUGCCCGGUGCUGGAAGGUUAAUAGGAAGGGUGCAAGCUCUGAAUUGAAGCCCCAGUAAACGGCGGCCGUAACACUGACGGUCCUAAGGUAGCGAAAUUCCUUGUCGGGUAAGUUCCGACCCGCACGAAUGGCGUAACGAUUUCUCCACUGUCUCCAACAUCAAUUCAGCGAAAUUGAAUUCCCCGUGCAGAUGCGGGGUACCCGCGGUUAGACGAAGAGACCCCGUGCACCUUUACUAUAGCUUUACAUUGCUGUUAAAAGUGUGAUGUGCAGGAUAGGUGGGAAGCUUUGAAGUUAUGGCGCUAGCUAUAAUGGAGCUGUCAUUGAGAUACCACCCUUCACACUUUUGAUAUCUAACUAUGUUUCAUUAUCUGGAACUAGGACAUUGUAUGGUGGGUAGUUUGACUGGGGCGGUCGCCUCCUAAAAAGUAACGGAGGCGUGCGAAGGUAAGCUAGAGCUGGUCGGAAAUCAGCUUAAUAGUAUAAUGGCAUAAGCUUGCCUGACUGCAAGGCUGACAAGCCAAGCAGAGACGAAAGUCGGUCAUAGUGAUCCGGUGAUUCUGUAUGGAAGGGUCAUCGCUCAACGGAUAAAAGGUACGCCGGGGAUAACAGGCUGAUGGUGUUCAAGCGUUCAUAGCGACGACACCGUUUGGCACCUCGAUGUCGACUCAUCACAUCCUGGGGCUGGAGAAGGUCCCAAGGGUUCGGCUGUUCGCCGAUUAAAGUGAUACGUGAGUUGGGUUUAGAACGUCGUGAGACAGUUCGGUUUCUAUCUGCCGUGGGUGAAGGAAAUUUGAGAAGGUCUGACUCUAGUACGAGAGGACCGAGAUGGAUAUACCUCUGGUGUACCAGCUGUUAUGCCAAUAGCAUCGCUGGGUAGCUAUGUAUAGAUGGGAUAAUUGCUGAAAGCAUAUAAGCAAGAAACCCUCUUCAAAAAGAUUUCCCAAUUAAGGCCGUGGAAGACUACCACGUUGAUAGGCUAGGUGUGUAAGCAUGGUAACAUGUUAAGCUAACUAGUACUAAUAGCCUGAUUGAUUUAUUU
Molecule: ribosomal RNA, 1914 nt
Filed under: insect metagenome
Description: bacterial LSU rRNA
Rfam family: Bacterial large subunit ribosomal RNA
Source: RNAcentral